AUCCUUUUGUGGUUCACAAGCAUAAUGAUUAGGUUUUCACAUUCCUGUAAAAUGUGACUCCCUCAAACCUUGUUACAACAUUGUCACGUUAUCCAUCUAAUA
This is a small nucleolar RNA of Otolemur garnettii (small-eared galago), 102 nucleotides long. NCBI's taxonomy places the organism in Eukaryota, Metazoa, Chordata, Mammalia, Primates, Galagidae. The record is from Ensembl.